UGCUUAACACAUGCAAGUCGAGCGGGCAAUUUAUCUAGCACUGAUUACUUCAAAUGGAAAUCAUAAGUGUAAUCAUGAAUUUCUACCUUAUAAUAAAGAAAAAAGAAAUUCAUGUACGCAAAUAGUGAUAACACAUUUUAGUGAAGUGAUGAGUGCUGGAUAAAUUGCUAGCGGCGGACGGGUGCGUAACACGUGGGUAACCUGCCCCUAUCACUGGGAUAACACACUGAAAAGUGUGCUAAUACCAGAUAAUAUAAGCUUUUGGCAUCAUUAGCUUAUCAAAGAAUUUCGGAUAGGGAUGGGCCCGCGUCUGAUUAGCUAGUUGGUGAGGUAACGGCUCACCAAGGCAACGAUCAGUAGCCGACCUGAGAGGGUGAUCGGCCACACUGGAACUGAGACACGGUCCAGACUCCUACGGGAGGCAGCAGUGGGGAAUAUUGCACAAUGGGCGAAAGCCUGAUGCAGCAACGCCGCGUGAGCGAUGAAGGCCUUCGGGUCGUAAAGCUCUGUCCUAUGGGAAAGAUAAUGGACGGUACCCAUUAGGGAAUUAANAUACCCCUGGUAGUUCCACCGNNUGUAAANCGAUGGAGUAAUUAGGNUGUCGGCUNUCAAAGGUCGGUGCCGNCGUUNACACAUUAAGUACUCCNGCGUGGGGGAGUACGCUGCAAGAGUGAAAGUCAAAAGGGAUUGACGGGGACCCGCACAAGUAGCGGAGCAUGUGGUUUAAUUGGAAGCAACGCGAAGAACCUUACGUAGGCUUUGACAUCCCUUUGCAAAAGCCCUUAACCGGGCUCCUCUUGUUCGCAAGACAAAGGUGACAGGUGGUGCAUGGUUGUCGUCAGCUCGUGUCGUGAGAUGUUGGGUUAAGUCCCGCAACGAGCGCAACCCCUAUUUUUAGUUGCCAUCAGUUAGGCUGGGCACUCUAGAAAGACUGCCGAGGACAACUCGGAGGAAGGUGGGGAUGACGUCAAAUCAUCAUGCCCCUUAUGCUUAGGGCUACACACGUGCUACAAUGGCUGUUACAAAGGGCUGCGAGACCGCGAGGUGGAGCCAAUCCCAUAAAAACAGUCUAAGUUCGGAUUGCAGGCUGAAACUCGCCUACAUGAAGCCGGAGUUACUAGUAAUCGCAGAUCAGAAUGCUGCGGUGAAUGCGUUCCCGGGUCUUGUACACACCGCCCGUCACACCAUGGAAGUUGGGGGCACCCAAAGUUAGUUAUCCAACCUUACGGAGGAGGCUACCUAAGGUGAAUUCAAUGACUGGGGUG
RNAcentral lists this ribosomal RNA (1265 nucleotides) under uncultured bacterium. Its description in RNAcentral is "partial 16S ribosomal RNA". It matches the Rfam family "Bacterial small subunit ribosomal RNA". The record is from RNAcentral.